Molecule: ribosomal RNA, 467 nt
Filed under: uncultured bacterium
Lineage: Bacteria
Description: partial 16S ribosomal RNA
Rfam family: Bacterial small subunit ribosomal RNA
Source: RNAcentral
GACGAACGCUGACAGAAUGCUUAACACAUGCAAGUCAACUUGAAUUUGGGUUUUUAACUUGGGUUUGGGUGGCGGACGGGUGAGUAACGCGUAAAGAACUUGCCUCACAGCUUGUGACAACAUUUGGAAACGAAUGCUAAUACCUAAUAUUAUGAUAAUAGGGCAUCCUAUAAUUAUGAAAGCUAUAGGCGCUGUGAGAGAGCUUUGCGUCCCAUUAGCUAGUUGGAGAGGUAACGGCUCACCAAGGCGAUGAUGGGUAGCCGGCCUGAGAGGGUGAUCGGCCACAAGGGAACGGAGACACGGCCCUUACUCCUACGGGAGGCAGCAGGGGGAAAUAUGGGACAAUGGACCAAGAGUCUGAUCCAGAAAUUCUGUGUGCACGAUGAAGUUUUGCGGAAUGUAAAGUGCUUUCAGUUGGGAAGAAAGAAAUGACGGUACCAACAGAAGAAGUGACGGCUAAAUACGUG